AAUUCUCAACCAUUAUCAACUUUUGCUGAUAAUGGCUUGGAUGUGGGGGUCUAUUUUGCUGGCUUCUCAGAUAGUCAGCUCCCCUUAAAUGCAUUAGCCGGUGCCCCGCGUGGACUGUCUAUUGGUGUGAUAAUUAUCUACGCUAUAGACAUCUGCAAUUAUAUGGGUUUGCACUGCUUCUAACAGUCUGUCAAUUCAGACAAUACAUGACA
This 212-nucleotide unclassified non-coding RNA is filed under the name Hebeloma aurantioumbrinum. Its description in RNAcentral is "partial internal transcribed spacer 2". Lineage: Eukaryota; Fungi; Basidiomycota; Agaricomycetes; Agaricales; Hymenogastraceae. The record is from RNAcentral.